ACGGGAGGCAGCAGUGGGGAAUAUUGCACAAUGGGCGAAAGCCUGAUGCAGCGACGCCGCGUGAGUGAAGAAGUAUCUCGGUAUGUAAAGCUCUAUCAGCAGGGAAGAAAAUGACGGUACCUGACUAAGAAGCCCCGGCUAACUACGUGCCAGCAGCCGCGGUAAUACGUAGGGGGCAAGCGUUAUCCGGAUUUACUGGGUGUAAAGGGAGCGCAGACGGCUUUGCAAGUCUGAUGUGAAAGGCAGGGGCUCAACUCCUGGACUGCAUUGGAAACUGUAGGGCUAGAGUGUCGGAGAGGUAAGCGGAAUUCCUAGUGUAGCGGUGAAAUGCGUAGAUAUUAGGAGGAACACCAGUGGCGAAGGCGGCUUACUGGACGAUAACUGACGUUGAGGCUCGAAAGCGUGGGGAGCAAACAGGAUUAGAUACCCUGGUA
RNAcentral lists this ribosomal RNA (434 nucleotides) under uncultured Clostridium sp. RNAcentral's name for it is "partial 16S ribosomal RNA". It matches the Rfam family "Bacterial small subunit ribosomal RNA", at positions 341 to 792 of the family's 1533-position model. The record is from RNAcentral. Lineage: Bacteria; Bacillati; Bacillota; Clostridia; Eubacteriales; Clostridiaceae.